CUGCCGCAGCCACCUCCACCACCGCCACCGCGACCGCCGCCGCCGCCGCCGCCGCACCCGGCUGGGCCUUCGCAGUCGUCUCCAGAGCAUCCGUGAGUCAUUUCCUGCCCAUCUCUGGAUCAUAAUUCUUCAACUGGAGGAUACCAAUGGAGAUAUUGGAGAGGAAUGGGACAGGAGAAGGAGGAGAUCAUGGGAGGUAGAAGAGGAAAGUGGAAGUAGAUAAAGGGUGACAUCAUUUUUCAUCUGUACAUCACAGCUGGUCCCAAGAUGCUGUUUCAUUCUACCAGUCGUCAACUCAAGACCAAAGGUGAAUUACAAUGGAUAGGUGUAAGAGAAGCUAAAUGGAGUUUCCUGCUAUUUGUUUAACUUUUAACUAUUGAGAAUGGAGAAAGGGAUGGAAUUACAAAAGAAGAAUGGCCAUACUGAUUUCUAUGGUGGCUGUACAAGUUUGCACUCCUACCAGCAAUGAAGAAUUAUUCUCCUUGCAUCAUCACCAGCAUGUGCUCUCAUUGUGCUAUUGACAUUCCCCAUUCAAACUGAAGAAAAGAUUUGGCUUCAAAUAAAGUAAUAUUCAGAAGUUCUGAAGAUAAUGAUGUGAACUGGUCUUUCUAGGUUUUGGCCUUCUCUAGGCACCCUCCUCAGACUGCUGCCACACCAUCAUCAGAAUCAUCACUGUCAGCAGAUUUGUUUUGAUGAUCGUGUUCUGUUCCUGUAAGUUGAGGACAAUGAAAUGAAGCUAGGGUUUUUGCCACCAUGAUUGGUUUAUGUGAGGCAAGAAUCCAGGACCAUGCACAUACUAGAUUUCACUUAUAUGUCAGUGUAUGCAUAUAAACUUACUACUUAGAAUCCGGGUCCUCUGGGAAAGCAGCCAGUGCUCUUAACCACUGAGCCAUCUCUCCAGCCCCCAAGAACUGAAUUUUGUGUACCCCAGGAAUUCUGGGUCUCAACAUCUCUCUUGCCGAUUGGAAUCCCAGAGCUCCACCUGGGCUUGGCCGUGCAUCUCUGCAUCUGCUUCCAUCAGACACUGGAUAAGAGUUCUAUUAUGACAGCUAGGGUGUUCCGCCAUCCAAUCACCAGGGCAGGUCAGCUCAGGCACUCUCUUGACCAUUGCCAGUAGUCUACAGUUGGAGGUAUCUUUGUGGAUUUCUGGAGACCUCUCUAGCACUCUGCUUCGACACUUUACUCUUACUACUUAAGCAAUAGCUCAAAAUCUGUGAACGGUCUGAAAGUUGAAAUGAAGGGAUGUAGGUAAAGCACAUACAUGGUACUGUGAAUCACGGAAAGCACACAAGAAUGAAAGCUCUGAGAACCAAGGUAAUGUUUCUCAACUGAAUGAAUGCAUAGCAGUGUACUGCUCACUUCUUUGUAAAUUAUAAACUACAUGACAGUGAGUUUUGCUUCAGGAAAAGGUAGGUUACAUUGACUCAUUCUUCAAUGUAUAUAGUAUAGUGUGAAAAUUAGGAUGAUAAAACUAAUGAAAGCCAUAUCGGAUAAAAAAUGCAGUUGGGGUGUAUAUAAGGUAUAAUAAGGGCUCUCAUAAGUGUGUCCUCUAGGUACAUUCACUGUAACCUUCGUUACACUUCAUUUAAAAAAUUGAAAUAUAAAUUUAAAAAAAUCGAGGAAUUAUAUAAUAGUCUGUACACUGGUCACCUGUAAUCUACAACUAACAUUUAACAUAUUUGUUUUAUCACUUAUAUGAGCACUUUACAUUCAUUCAUUCAGACACAAAGUCUGAUAUAUUUUGGCACAUUUUGAAGUUGCUGAUAUCUGUACACUCAACUGCACAGAAUACAUAUCAUUAAGUGAAGUUAAAUAUUUACUCAUGUUCCCUUUCAAGAGGUAAAAUUUACAUAGUGAAAUGCACAUAUCAUAUGUACAAAAUGUCUUCUGACAAAAUUUAAUACCUAUGUAAAUCAGCAGCUGUAAACGUCUGUAAUAUAAUAACAAGGACAACAAUUUCCUUAAAUCACUUGCCUGCCUUUUUUUUUCAUAAAGUCGUCAUCUCUCCCACAGUUGCAAAUAUACUUUUGAUUUUUUAAAGAAGGAAAGGGAAAAUAUUUUAUGCACCAUGCAAAGGUUCAUGUUUAUUCCUCUAUACUGAAAGACAGUUGACAAGAGCAAAACUUACACAUUUAUUUGGCAUGUUAUCUAUUACAUGAGAAUCUUUAAUGACCUGAAUAAAUACAAAAAACUGUGGAAUUUUGUAGAAUGUAUAUACAAGUAUGUUUGGAAGACAAGGGGACAUGCUCUAAUGUCUAUAAACUGUAUGGGGAGUUGUUGUUUAGAAAGGACUGGGUGUUAAGGUUCUUCUCUGUCUUAACCUUCUUUUGUUUCCUUCAAAGGGAGGGGUCCCCUGCAGGGAGGAUUGCCCUGGAAUAAAGAUUGUGGAUCUUCUUCAUGGGAAACUUGGCAAGGGGAAUUCUAAUUUCAAUGAUCCCUUUUAGGAGACAAGGUGGAUGGGUGAAAGUCAGCUCUGAGGUCUCACAUAUGUGUAUUUUUCUAUUUCCUCCAGUUAAAAUUGCUUGCUAGACUGGGAUGUCAUAUUUAGGGCCAGUGUGUCCUGAACUACAUGAUCUCUUUUUAAACUUUAAGUAGCCUCUUGAGAGCACGAUGGAGUUCCUAUUAAAAUAUAAACAGUGUUUUCUACAAAAAUAUUAUCACUCGUGGAAACCUGAAAGAUUUUAAAUUAAAAAACAAAAAAUAAAAACCCAAGUUUCUCUUUUUCUCCAUUUUGGUCAAGAGGGGAACGUUUUGAUCUGUCAUAUACUGUGACCAUAAUGUAGUGCUUCUUCUCAAGCUUCCAAACCAUGAAGCUGACAUAUCAUGAAUUGAGAUAACUGAAAUUUAUGACUAAAGAUAAACCAUUUUGUUUAUAAAGUGAUGAUUUUAAAUAUUUGUCCUAAAUAUUGAAGGUUGAGUAUAUCAUAUUCCAGAUCAUUUCCAGAUCAAAUACCAUGACUAUUAUCUCCUUUCUUUUUUCCUGGAAGUAAUAUUUUCACAGGUCUUUCACUUAGAUCUUUCAAUUUUUUAAGCUUGAUUUUUGUAUAUUGGGUAAGCUAAGAAUUUAUUUUCAUUCUUUUCCACAUAGAUAACAUCACUUUUUGUCAUAUACUUCUUGAUAUAUGUGUUUAUUUUUGGAAUGCCUAUUAUUUGGUUUAUAUGACUGUGUUAAUGCUACUAUGACAAUCUCUUGAGUAAUAUAAUUUUACUAUAAUUAAUUAAUCAUUCAUUUUCUUCCAGCUCAGAAUGUCUUCAAACUCAUUGUGUAGUCUGUUAUUACCUUGAAAUCUGAUGCUCUUGCCUCCAUCUAUCAAGUGUUGGGGUUACAGAAUGCUCUCUACUACACCUGGCUUUCUUAAUAGGUCUUGAGUUGGAAAAUAUGAGACCUCCAAAUUUGUUCCUUCUGUUUAAUAUCAUUUUGUGUACUUAGAAUUCUUCUGGUUUUCAUAUGAAUUUUAAUAUGUAUGCAGAAAGUGCUGUUUGUAUUUUGAUAGGAAGUUCAUUGAAUCUAGAUUAUUUUGGAUAAUUCUGACAUUUUACCCAUAGUAAAUUUUCAAUUACAUGAACAGAGUGAAUGUUUUUCAAUUUUUUUUAUUAUUAAGAAAUUUUCUAUUCAUUUUACAUACCAACCACUGAUCCCCCCUCCUCCCUCUUCCCACCCCUCAGUCUUCACCCCAACCCACCGCCCGUUCCCACCUCCUCCAAGUCAAGGUCUCCCACGGGGAAUGGAGUCGGCAAAGCCUGGUACAUUCAGUUGAGGCAGGUCCAAGCCCUCCACACUGCACCACGGCUGCACAAGGUGUCCCACUGUAGGCACUGGGCUCUAAAAAGCUCGUUAAUUUAUUUCUUUGCUCCCCAGAAGUUUUGUAGCUUUUAGUCUAUUUUUUUUCUCGGAUGAGCUUAAUCUGAAGUGAUUAUUCUUUCUUUUUGAUGUUGCUAUAAGUGUAUUCUUUCUUACUUUCCUAUUCCUAUUAUUACUUUAGUGAACAUAGGAUGAUCAUAACAUUGUGCCUACAAUUUUGCAAGUUCUUUAAAUGGUUUAGUAUACCUUUGUGUACUUUUGGGUUUUUCACAUGCAAGAUCAUGCCAUCUAUAAACAAAGAUUAAUUCUCUUGUUCAAAUUGGAUUCCUGGCUUUUAUUUCUGUUUCUACCUUAGUAACUCUGGUAUUUCCUUGAGUAGAGAAAAUUAUCUUACUUCUGAUCCUAGAGGAAAAAGCUUUGAUUGUUUCACAAUUGAGCAUAUAUAGGCUUUAUUAUAUUGGCAUACUUUCCUUUUAUUUCUAAUUUGUCAAAGGUGAUUUUUUUUAAGAUUGGAAAAGGUUUUAUAAUUUUGUAGAUUGCUUUUGUGCAUCAACAGUCCCCUUAUCUUUGCUGCCAAACAGUGUUGUAUUGUAUGUAUAUAAUACAAUUUACUUAGCCAUUCUCAUUUAGCUGCAUACUGGUUUGUUUCAAGUAUUUGUCUAUGAUGAAUAAAUGACCAUAUUUUAAAACAUUAAAAGUCAAGCCAAUUAGUUCCAUCUGCUAUUUCCUAUGCAAUACACAAUUAUACUUAUUAGCUUUUUACUGGCUUAUACAUGAAAUUUGUCUCAGUGAAUGAUGUUUUCAUAAUAUUUGCAAGAGUCCAAACUAUAAAUGUACCUAAUUUGUUUUUCUAUCAUUUUAACUUUUAGAAGAUUUUCCUUGAGCUCUUGUUAUUUCUUAAAUAGUACAAACUCAUUUUCUUUCUGUGUCUUUGCUUUCAUUUGUAAUUGAAAAAUAAGAGUAAUAGAUGAUACUUGGGUUAUUUUUCUGUGUUUGAUUAAAACUCUGUAUCUCCUGGAAAAUCCAUUACAAGUUUGUAGAAACCACACAUGCAGUUGAAAGAUUGUUUAAUCAUGACUCAGUGUAGAUUAGCAUUUAGUGCCUAACAGCUUCUUUUGGGUAUCUAGUUUUUUGUUUACUGAUUUAUUCUUCCCUUCAUCAAUUUAUGAAUCCACAUUGAGUCCUAUACUUUGUGGCUUUGGACUUAAAAUUGUGAUUUAAUAUAGCUCAUUCCUUUAGUUAAUAGCCUAACAAAGGAGGCAGACAUCAAUCUAAAUAUAAAAUGUUGAUUAUAAUGGAGCUGAUAAUAAGGAAAGGUACCCAGAGCUAUUAUAAUACAGAGCACAGGGAUAUGAUCUUUUUGGGUACAGGGAAGGGGGAUGACUAAGAAAUAAUUCCUUAAAGACAUCUGGGCAGAAAUAUGAAUGUUAAAUGGAAGUUAAACAGAUGAAGCAGAAGCUGGAAAUGGAAGUGCAGCCAAUGCAGGAGGAGCAGCACAUAGAAAAUCCCCAAGGAAUAAAGAUCAUGAAAAGUGCAAAAACUGGCUAAUGGCCCGCGUGGCUUGAGCACCAAAAAGUAUGAGGAGAUUUAGGGAUUUCAGGCUAGAGCAAAAGGAUUAAUCAUUUGAGGUCAUCAGAAAUCAAAUCAAAGAUGUUGGUGUGCAUCCUUCCACCAGCUGAAAGGUAUUAAUAUUUUGUGUUUCAUACUUUCACUUUGGCUGUAACGUGAGGAAUAGAUUUCAGAGGGAAAGUAUGGGAGCAGAAAGAAGAUUUAGAAAACUAAGGCUUUAGAAACGGACUAGGGUAUUGGAAACUGAAAAAAAAUAUAGGCAGAAUCUAGAUCAUUCUGAAGGAUAAAAAAAUGAAAAUUGGGCAUGAGAUGUGGCUAUGAACUCAUCUGUGUGUUCUAGACUCUGUAUUAGGGAUUUAACUCACAUGAGUGGAUGAGAAUAUCACCAUUUACUCUACUCAUAGGAUACACUCCCUUGCAAGGUCUUACUCUAUACACUUAUACACAAAAAUCUCUAAUACCACCAAACUUUAUUCCUUAAAGUUGCUGCAAAUUUGUGCAAAGGGAUUUUAGAUUUCUGAUUAUGCAAGUUGAGACACUGACACUGACCUAAAGACAUUUUUGGAUGAAUUGGAGAAGUGAACCUGAGCCUCAUCUUGUGACACAUUAAAAUGGAGUUCACAUGAGUGUUACAAGUAUGACACUUUGAAGACUUAUUCCAACAUUAUAGUAUGGUGCUAGAGAGCCUGGAGCAAUACUGUAAUGGGCACCUCCUUGUCACAGGUGAAAAAUUUGGUCGUUAUUUUAUAGUUCAAAAGGGACUUUGUUAUGCAUGAGGUGCCUUCUAGUGGCCACUUAAGAAAAUUGUUCAACCUGUACACAAGAAAAAAGGCAGUGAACUGGUAAUGGGCAGUGAUUUGAGAAUAGAUGGGCCAGUCACUACAGUUAGGAGUUUUGAAAGAUGGCAGUAAGUCCAAAAUAUAAGGAAAUACAAGGUAAAAUAUUGAGCUUAGAAGACUCUUUACUGACUAGAAGCCUAAUUCCUACUUUAACACAGCAGGGAUUACCAACAAGGAAGGAAAAUAAUGUGUUAAGUGGAGAAAGCAAGUUAGAUUUGAUGAUCAGAGAUCAAAUCAAUAUCUACAUUAAAUAAUUCAUUGCCUGGUAAAAAAAACUUUGGCAAUCUUCACAAAUCUAUGCUCUUUUUAACUGGAAAUUGGAUGCCUUAGUACACUAUGACUCUUAUUUUUUUCAGAAUUUUUAUCCUUUGUUUCAAGUGGAAUCCUCAUGAGAGGAAAGAUCAUGGGGUUUCUGAAAAUCCCAUCUGCUAUAUGUUUUCUUCCCUCUCUGCACAACCUGGUUGCUUUCAAACUGAUACUCAAACAAGACAAGCAUCCAGGUUUACCUGAUGCCAGCUGGCUUCAACAAUGUUAACAUAAGUCAAAAGGUUGAGUCAUAGUGGGGAAUUUAUUAAUCUGUUUUAAAAAAAAAUAGAGACUAUCUGCAAUUCAUAUCAGGGCUAGAAAUUCAAGUUUCAGUACAUCAAUUUGACAUUCUCAUUAUUCAAAAUCAACAUGGGUGGUGAUAAGCAGCCAUGUACAGUUUGGUAGCUUAACCAAGGUGCCCAGGUGCUUACAGUACAUAUCAGUCUAGAAAUCCUUUAGCUUUACCUGUAUCCAGGAAGAAUCACAAGAAUGAAAUGUGCCUUACAGUUAUAUAGUAGUUAGGUCACUGAAAGAGUUGCUUUCUUAAGCAUGUAACUUGCUACCAGAAAAGAUAAGGAACCUAUAGCAGGUUACAGAAUGACAACUUUUAAUGAGAGAAACAAUCAUACUACAGAACAGUCAGUCCCCUGAGAACUGUUUUCCUACAAAUCUGCCAUGGGAAAUGUCCCCAUCACCUUGACAACUACCCAUGAAAUUUAUGUGAGAAUUAUGAUGAUGGGUUUUAUUGGGACUUGUUUUUAUUUAUUGUAACAUUUCUUUACAUGAGUCACCUUUAAAAUUUAGUCUUCAUAAUGCUCUACAAACAGUGAAAAGUAUUAUUGACUGAAAAAGAUAUUUAGUUGUUUUCUACAUUAAAAUAUGGUAAGUGAGCACAUUCAGAACCCUGCAACUAAGUUACAUAUUCAGGAAAUAUAUGUAUCUGGAAGAGAAAAACGUUGCUUGGGUCCCUUCCAAAGUAAGUACAUUAUUUGCUAUUGCAAGGGAUACUGAGGUUGCUUCACCCAGCGAUCUCACAUUCCACAAACUUUGUUUUCUUAAGGAUUGUUGAAGAUGCAUCUAUAUUGUCUUCUUAUAUAGUAAUAGCCAGUUUUAAAUUCCAGGGUAUAAGUAGCUGUCCCUGAUUUACAAUUCAUAUUUUGCCCAUUUUAAUGAUCUAAGUUUAAUUUUCAAAAGUAAUGACUUCUUAGGAUUGAAAUAUCGACAAGCCAUAUGACAAUUCUCUCUGAAAGAACCAUAGAACAAAGGUGACAAGUGAAACACACUUAUUUUACUGCAACAUAUCUAAUUGUGACAGGAUUUUGCCUGAAGCUUUGCCCUGUAAGGUGCUGAGAGUUGAUAGAUAUCUUUAUACCUUUGAAUCAAAUUUUUUUCUUCAAAUGCGCAGAACUGUUUUAAAAAAUACCUUUUUAGGUAAUAAAUUUGAUUUUUCUGAAUUACCCUGUCAUCAGUGGAGAUACUGAUCUUAGAAUAUAUUGUGACUGCUGCAUUGAAGAAGUGUUUUAGGAUUAUAUAGGUGUACCUUCAUUCUGUAUAAUACCGGUACUUCUCAUUACUUUUCAAGGGAAUUAACGACUUUGGUACCUAAUACUGAUGCCAUACCAUUUACUGCGGUAGAAAGCAACAACAGAUCCACAACAUCCACCACCUAUCUUAUUCUCUUACUUAAAUUUACUUCCACCCUAUAGGAAAGCUACUGAGUAAUACACCAGUAUCUCAUCAGUGUAUUACAUCCUUUUCUGUUCUACAGCAUAAGUGCUCAUUUUUAAAUCCCGAGUUACAGUGCAGACAGCCUGGUAGAUACAAGGCAAAUGGAGAGAUACAGGUCACCUCAGAGGAGAGUUCAAAGGCAUAAAGGCCUGGUAUAUUUUGCCAGAAAACAGUAUUGAGCAGUAAUCACAAUCCAUUUUUCCUUUUGUGAAGACUUCAUAGAAUUUCACAACACUUAUAGAAGUAAUCGAACCGAGACCGGGCUAAUAUCUUGAUAAAAAGGAAUCACCUAUUUAGAACACUUAGAAAAUAUUGAGAUAGUCAUAGAUAAAGCUACUGUAAAUUUAUUUAUUCAUUGGUAGAUAGUAAACAUUUAAUAAAGAUUUUAGCAUUAAUCAUUGCAUUAGGCUAUAAUUUUUUCUUCUUUCUUCACAAUUUUAUAUUUACUCAAGCUUCUGAUGAACUCCAUUGAACUCAAUACACCGUCUUUACAUGGGAGAAAUACAGGACGGAAUAAGUUGUGCUUCUACUGAAUUAUGGUUUAUCUUUGCAACGGUAGUCAUGUAACAGUAUCUUUCCUCAUAUAUACUAGAAAGCUUAGAGUCAAUACUGUGUUCUAUUUUUCAUAUUGUAUAGAGUUUCAUGGCAUCCUUUCCUUGCUAAUAUGGCACUUUUAAUUCUCUCUUCAUUGCUCUCUUUUCUCCUUUAUUUAAUAGUCUCCUUUACCUUUACUUCAUUUUAUUGGUUCACCUGGUGUUUAUGAACUUCUGAUUUGCUUUAUAAUGUUUUUGAAAAAUGAGGAAAGAGAGAGAAGGAAGUAAAGAUGAGAAAGAUAGAAGAAAAUAGUUUGCCUAAUCAACACAUUUUAUCUCUUAUCUCCAGAGUGAAUUCAGAUUUCUGAGAGGAAAACAGGACAGCAAUUUCAAUGAAAUAAUCAAUUGCACACAACAUUAACAUACAAGAAAAGCUCUUCAAGUAGGAAAAAAAAACAUCUUGGAAAGUAUUUCUUACACUAGAGCUGGAAUUGACCCUCUUGUCUCCUCUACUUUUUACUGUAACUGUGUUAUGUAUUUAAUUAUUCAGACUCCUCAACUAAUUGUCACUGUUUUCUUCUGACUCAGAAAAAAGGCAGAUAAGAAGAAACAGGCUCAUUUCUAUGAUCUAGUCCUUAAAAUUAAGCUGUUAUCGCAAUAUGGUCUUGUGUAUAUUAUCUUCAACUAAUUGUUCAUGCUACCCCCUUCGUUUUAUGUGUGAUGAUUACUCUCCUUUAAAUACAUUAAUUUCUCACCCAACAAAUUUGCAAACUAGCAAUUUUUCUAGACACAGCUUAAAUUAUCCUUUCCUAGGUAGUCUUUCUGAACAAUCCACACUGUUUGAAUGCUUGCCUAAGUAUUGCCAUAAUAUCCUUUACCUACUUCUUGGCACAUGUUGAAUCUGUUUAUAUAUCUUUCUAAUAGAUUCUAUGCAACUUGAGGGGACAAGAAUGUCAUCUUUAUUCAUUGCUGUUCAUAGUGCCUUUAUUCAUAUCUUUUUGCAAGAUGUAUCUAAUCAAAUGAGUUGAGGGAGAGUCUGAAAAAAAUUGUUCAGCAGUUUAAACUAUUACUCAGAUGACCUAAACACGUAGAGAAAACUGUAGAUUCUUUGACAGUUUUAUCAUUUGACUAAUUUUGAAAUAGACAAAGCCAUAAUGUCAUAUAUCUGUCUAUAUGUUUCAUUUAGUGCCUGUGUAGUUGGAAAAAUUCUAUGAUACAGCCUAGUUGUUAGAUAAGCUUACAAGGGCAUUCUUCUGUGGGUGGCAGCUGUCCCACAGAGUACCUGCUUUGGGCCUAUCUUUACUAAGCCUCAAAUCACUAGGUAAUUUUCCCUCCAGUGACUACAUACAUUGAAAAGCCCCCAGUAAUUGUUUUCAACCCUACAGAGGCAGUUAAACUCUUCAGUUGGUAAGGACAUAACCCAAUUAUAGCUAGAACUGCUACAUCUUUUAGAUAAAAUCAGUAUUGCUGAUAUUUACUAAGGCACUGGAUGCCUGAAUUCUGCACUGUGCUGUAGAAUUUUUCCUCAAUAUUGUGUUAUAAGAUCCAUUUCUGAAAUGCAAAUAUCAUGAGAUGCCCUGAUGUGCCAAGUUCUUAGCUAUCAGUAUGUUUUUAAUGGGAAUCUGAAAGUUUAAAAUUCUCAUGCAAAUAGACUAAUAGAAAUCCUCAUUAUUUUAAAGUUAGCUCAAAUAGGUUAGGUGUCAAGAGUUCCUCUCCUUGGUGAAUUUCUGAAAAUACUUGUCAUUUACUAUGGUCACAUAAUUGUACACUUAGAAAAUAUUUUUUCCUGAACAUGUGGCAGAGCAAAUUAUAACACAGGAGGGGGGUUAAUGAAAUUGACUGCCAGUGGAGUAAAUAAUCGAGGAACAGAGAACUGGGUAUUAGGUUGAUUAGCAGCUUCGUGCCCUAAAUCAUGCCUUGUUAGAGGUAGGGAGUCUAUUCAAAGUGUUUAAGUGGAAACAGAUGACUUGAAUUAAGCAACACUACACACCUAAUGCUUUUGUGAUGAUGAGCAAUUUUCUGGUUUUCUCUCAAAUUGUUUAAUUAUAGCUGUAAAACUGUACUGAUACUAAAAAUAUUUCCUUUCAUUACUGUGGGAUGUUGUCUGUAUGCUGUGAAUAUGUGUUGCUCUGAUUGGUUGAUAAAUAAAAUGCUGAUUGGCCAGUCACCAGGUAGGAAGUAUGGCGGGGGGGAUAAGCAGAGAGGAGAAUUCUGGGAAGAGGAAGGCUGAGUCAGGAGUCACCAGCCAGACACAGAGGAAGCAAGAUGACAAGGCAGAACUGAGAAAAGGUACCAAGCCACGUGACUAAACAUAAAUAAGAAUUAUGGGUUAAAUUAAAUGUAAGAGCUAGUCAGUAAUAAGUCUGAGCUAAUGGCAAAGCAGUUAUAAUUAAUAUUAGCCUCUGUGUGUUUACUUGGCGGUCAUGAGUGGGAGAGAUUUGUCCUGACUGCCUGCUGGCUGGGACACAGGAAAACUUCUCACUACAUUUCUUAUCUGUCAUAAUCUAUUUAAAGGGUAAUAGUGAUGACUUUUAGAGAUAGUUAUGAAAAUACCAAUAAAUAUGUACUCCCAAACAAGGUACCAACUAAUUAUAUAAUCUAUAAAAUUCAAAACCUUAGUUUAAAAAGCAUGUGAUUCUUAUUUGGUAAAUAUUUGUGUACUUAUGGGCUUACAUGAAGUUUUGGGGUAUUUUACCUUACCCUUCGCUACCCUUACUCUAAAUGAGAAGUGACUUUUGUAAAGUCACAUAUCUCCUUGGUAUCACAUGGACAGCCACAGAACAAACUUGAUUUAAAUAUUGUCAUUUUGAUUAUUUGAUUUUUGAAGUUGCAUUGUUCUAGCCCUUUAUUAAUAGCAAGGCUUCCAAAAUAAUGACAGUAUUGAUGAAGACAGUUUCAAAUUGCAUAUAUUUGCUUUCUAAUAUCCUAUAUUCCUAAAGUAUUAAUAGGGCAAUUUUGAUGUUUCUUAGUUCAUAGAAACAAGAGAUGGUUUGACAUCUGUUCCAUAAUUACCAAAUAUAUUUUUAGUAUGAGUAAUUUUAUCUAGUUCUUGCAUUAUUUUGGGGCACAGGGGAUGAAUGUUUUCAAGUAGAUAUACUAUAAAAACAAGUAUAAAUGUUAAGAUACAAAAAAUCUGCUGAUAGUAAUUAGACAUUAGAGUGAGGCAAAAAGGAUAUGUGAUAUUCAUGUUCCAAAGAAAGAGUAAAUGCAUGAAUGUCUUCUGGAUUAGCAUGAGAUAAAUAUUUUCCAUAUAAUAAUUAAUAAAUGAUUUAAUAAUAGAAUGUAGCCUCAAAAAUAGGUUGAAUAAAUAUAACAUAAAGAGAUUUUUUUGUUUUGGAAGAAUAAUGGCUAAUACACUGAGAGGAGAAUAUGCUAGAUAAGGCAAAUAACGAUUCAUGCACUCAUUCAAUAAAUAUUUAUUGUGUUCCUACCCAGAGAAUGUCAUGCAUUGCUCAGAGCUCUCGGAAUGCAGCAGUGAAUGGGGCACAAUUAUCCUAAUUGGCAAUGUGGAAAUUUCUGAGGAAAUUUUUUCUUGAAUAUUUUAGUUCAGUAUUAGUAAAAUAUAUAAUCAGUGUUUACUUUGUUCACUAAAGGAAACUAUUUUUCACAAGCCAGUAGCCUGUUCCUCUAUAUUUAAGAGUUAAUUUAUCUAUGAAUGAUAUUCUACUAUAAUCAUAAAUCAGUUCCUUGCUCAGCCAUCAUCAAAGAAGCUUCUUCCUGCUGGAGAAGGGAACAAAUACAGAGACCCAUAGCCAGAUAUUAUACAAAGAGAGAGACUGUGGAACACACACAGUUUUAUGUGAAACAUCUCCUUCAAAUCUCUCCCCUCAGAACUCAGUGUAUUGCAAGGAAAAGCAGGCAGAAGGAAUGUAAGAGCCAGAGAGGAUGGAGGACCCAAGAAAAUGAGGUCCUGUAAAUCAACAUGACCAAAGUUCAAAUGAGCUAAUAGGGACUGAAAUAGCAUGAACAAGGGCCACAUGGGGCUAUGCCAGGUACUCUGAAUAUAUAUUUUAGUGUUUUGAUGGGAUUCCUGAGGAUGUGAACAAGUGGGUCCCUGAUUCCUGUGCCCUUUCUUGGACUCUUUUCCUUCUGUUUGUCUACUCUGAUAUGUUAAUUUUUGUUUGAUUUUAUUAUAUUUUAUUGUUAUCCUUUAGAAGCCUGUUUGUUUUCUAAUGAGAGACAGAAAGGGAGUGGGUCCAUAUGGGAGAAGUUUGGGGAGGAAUUGGGAAGAGUAAAGGCAGGGGAAUAUUUAAUCAUGAUACAUUAUGUGUGAAAAAAUAUCUAUUUUCAAUAAAAGGAAAAAUAAAUAAAGGUUAGUUUAUUUGUAAGUAAAAUGACCAAAGCCUACUAGUCAUUCCAUAAAAUAAUACUGAUAUCAUGCUAAUUAUUUCGAAGUAAGGUAAUAAAAUGGUAACUAAAAUGAAUCAUCCAUGCAUUGUCAAAUUCAAUAAAUUGUUGUAAAUACAUAGCUCUUACUCCUGGCUUUAUACUGUAAAACAAAGAAAUGCUCUGUAAUUUAGAGUGAAAUGCUGAAAAUAGACUUUAACAUGCUGAUACAUAUAUCUACAUAUGAGCAUGAGUUUCAUGGAACUGUAUGAAGGAUGAAAGGCAAACUUUAUAAAAAUGUUUUGGUGCAACAAAAUAAAGAGCAAUAUAGUGUGAUGUUGAAAAAUUUCCUUUCUGAGGAAGUGCUGUUAGACAUGUAUGUGCAUGUGUGUCCACAUGUCCAGGAUGGGAUUUGUUGUGAAAUGUUCUAUGAAUAGUAAAAACAUGCAUGUGAAGAUUUUAAAAGGAUUCGCAUGGGGAUUGAUAGAUGUCUUGGUGCUUAAGAGUACUUGCUACUCUUGCAGAUGAACUGAAUUUAGUUACUAGGACCCAUAUAGCAACUUAUAACUCUAUGUAACUCCAGUUUCAGCAGAUCUAACACUGUCUUAUAGCUCCUACAGGCACUGGACACAAGCUGCAUCUGAAUACAUGCACGCAAAAUGCUCAUACACAUAUAGAAAAAUAAAUAAUAAAACAAAAAGAUCAAAAUGACCUGUUUGAAGAACUAAGAAAAGUGAGCAUAUAAAUAAGUUGCUAAAGAACAUAAAUUGUCUUAUCAGCAUCAUAACUAAUUCAACUAUGUAUCCAUAUUCUGAAAAUCUGAAAUUGCUCUAAAAUCUAAAAUUAUUUCUAGCCUCAUAUGAUAUGUUAAAGUUUUAGAUUUUGGACCAUAUUAGAUUUUGUUACAUUUUAGAUUUUUGAUUUUUAGAUUAUGAAUGCUCAACGAGUAAUGUGUAAAAGAAUAUUCUAAAAACAUAAAUCUCUAAAAUAUGAACCACUUUCUGUUCCAAACAAUUUGAAUUUAGAUAACUCUAUAAGAUGAAUAUCAUCUCUCUUUUAAUUCUGAAAUUUGGAUUGACUGGUGUCUUGGUGUAGCCUCCUCUGGAAACUUUGACUCUGAGUAGGGCCAUUCUAUUUUUACAUUGCUUGAUAUUAGGGUAUAGCAUGGAGUGCUCUUGACAUGAAAAAUAUAUCGAGACAGUAUAUGCUUAAUCUAGUAUGCACAAGCAUGCAAUGAACUUCAAAAAAUCUUGUUUUGUCCUACAAUGUUGUGAGAAAUAAAUAUUUUAAAAAAAUGAAAAUUUCAUUUCAUUCCCCUUUUGUAAUUUCUAGCUUGCUGUUUUUCCUUAGCUUUUUGGAAAUAACUUUUUGCCAGAGUAAACUGGAUAUUACAUCUAUGCUGCAACCUCCAACCAUUACCUAUACAGAGAUAAUUUUUAUUUUACUGGGAAAAAACCAGUAGGAGAUAUGUAAACAAAUAAGAACUGUUGAAGACAUACUUGCUAAAUGCAGGCACUAAAGGGGUAUCCUGGAUUUGUGAUGUUGGAAAAAGAAUGGACUACCUAAGUAGAUGCAUAAUCUUUAUUUUGUUAUAUUUUUGUGUGUCUGUGUGAAUAUUUGCAAUGUUAUGUGUAUUCUGUCUGAUGUCCACAAAGGACAGAGGAGAGGAGGGUGUCGGAUCUCCUGGAACUGAAAUCACUUUUAGUGGAGUUGUCUGACUUGUGUUCUAGGAACCAAACUUAACCCAGAACCUCUGGAAGAGCAACAAGGUCUCUUAAUAGCUUAGCCAUUUUUCCAGCCACUGAAGUAUAAUUUUUCAAUUGAAAAGUAUCAUAUAUUGUAGAAGAAUUGGGGAUGAGGCAUAGGAAAAUGAGAGAGGACAACAAAAAUGUUUUUUUAAAUGAUAACUAAAACCUGGCUUAUUAAUGCCAACACAUAGAAUGGUAAAAAGUAGUACUCACCAAUUUCUGAGAUCAGAGUUCUGACCUAUUUAUAUUUUUAGGUAAAACCAUUGAAAAGCUACUCAAGAAGACCAAAAGCAUCUGUAAUCUAACAAACUUGAGAAUAAUGGGACAUAGUCAAUGGAUAAGUUAUUUAUGUAAUAAGAUAGAGGGAAAGGUAGAAUACCUUAUUAAGUAUUCUUCAGAACACUUUUCAGAUUUCACUGAUGAUUCAAAUUAGGGAACUUGUCUGUCCCCUGUAUAAAAUCUAUUCCCUGUGUGCUAUUUGUAAAGCUUUUACACCUAUUAUUCUGCAAUCCAAUUUCAGUAAA
Molecule: long non-coding RNA, 15375 nt
Organism: Peromyscus californicus insignis
Lineage: Eukaryota; Metazoa; Chordata; Mammalia; Rodentia; Cricetidae
Exons: 11
Source: RefSeq, a predicted model, not a curated record